Bubalus bubalis (water buffalo) is the source of this 1965-nucleotide long non-coding RNA. RefSeq lists it as uncharacterized. The transcript is spliced from 7 exons. Lineage: Eukaryota; Metazoa; Chordata; Mammalia; Artiodactyla; Bovidae. The record is from RefSeq and is a predicted model, not a curated record.
AGGCCUUUCAUGGGGGGGGCGGGGCACUACUGCCAUUGGCCAAGGCUGUCCUCUCAGCUGAAGGCUCAACUGGUGGAGAACCCAGUUCUGAGCUCACUCUUGCGGUUACUGACAGGAGUCAGUUCCUCACAGGUUGUUGGCUGGAGCCCUCCCCUCCGUCACAGGGCAUUUCAACAGGGCAACUAGCCUCCUACAGAGCAGGAUGUCUAGGUCAGUGAUCACACCAUCGUGAUUAUCUGAGUCGUGACAUGUGGGUGCUGCUAAAGAGGAACAGAGAUGCAAAUCCGGCGGGAGUGGACAAGGGAGAAAGGAAGAUGGAGGAGAGGGGUAUUCAGAUCAAAUAUGCUCCACUAGAUCCUUGGUUAGGCCAAGAAACAUACAAGGUUGGUUUCUUUCCUUGUAUUUAUUGGAGCUGGAGCUACUGGAGCAGCACGUGUGCCUUGUAUCUGGCAUUGUCCGAUCAGUUGGAACAGAAAGAAUAAGCCAGAAGAAACUGAAUCCCAGUGAUCAAGGGCUUCCCUGGCACCUCCUUCUCCAGUGGCUUUCCAGCAAGUUCUGGGCUAUGCCACCUCUCCAAGGAUGUUUCCCUGGCACCUGACAGCAGAUUCCAAACAAGUGGCACUGGUGCAGCAUCUCAGCCUCAAUUCAGCAUAGACUGACCUCGUUUGAGCAAGAAGAAAUUCUGCCAGUCAGUGAUCUUUGAACUUGAACUACAGUUCUUUCCUUGGGUCUCCAGUCCACCAGCCUAACCUGCAGAUUUUGGAUUUACCAUGGCUCCACAACUGUCAGGUUUGUGAAAAUGUUUCACAAUGUUGUUCACAGCUUCUCCAAUUCCUUCUUGGAUCUGUCCUGCAUUGGGUUCUAAAAAAUAAUGAAUAAUGGCGGAAAUUUCAGGCAAGGAAAAUAAACCAAGUACUACAGGACAUCAACUGUGCCUGCCUGUGCAGGAAACACUUCACCAGGGCAGGCUGCCUUGUCAGGGAUCCAUGAAACUUGCCUUGCCAGUUUAGUCAAGUGAGGCAUAUUGACACAAAGGAAAAGAAUCUAAGAGACCCCCGAGACUCAAAUCCCAGCCUUACCACUCAAAAUCUAUAACUAUAGUCACCAAUUUUAAGUAUGUAAUUUGAUGAGUUUCGACAGAUGUAUAGACAUGUAACUACCACUAUAAUCAAAAUACAGAAAAUUUCCAUCAACCCCCAAAGUUCUGCUGUUCCCCUUUUCAGUCAAUUCCCUUCCCCAGCUUGUAACUUUGUAACCCCUGUCAAGUACUCAUCUGCUUUCCAUCAUUAUUAUAUUGCCUUUUCUAGAAUUUAAUAAAUAGAAUUGUAUAAUGUCUGCUUUUUCUCACCUGGCACAAUACUUUUGAUUCAUCCAUGAUGUUAGCUAUAUCAACAGUAUUGCUGAAUAGUAUCCCACUGACUAGAUGUAUCACUAUCUGCUUAUCCACUUACCAGCUGGUGGAUGUUGCAAGUGUUUCCAUUCUGGCUAUUAUGAAUAAAGCUGCUUGGAAAAUUUGAGUAUGAGUCUUGGUGUAGAUAUAUGCAUUCAUUUCUCUAGGAUAUAUACAUCUAGAUUGAGAGUUCUGGGUGAAGUGUAUGGUUAGUACAUGUAUAUAUCUUUAUAAGAAAUUGCCAAAUGGUUUUUCCUUUUGUAUUCCCAUUGUAAUAUAUGCGUAUUCACUAUUGUCUCCUCUUUCUAGUGUAUGUGUGGUAUUAAGUUUACUUUGGAGGCAGAAAAGAAUUAUGGAUAAAGGGAAUCAUUUAUUAAAGAAUAAGGGAGAUUGUUAAAGACUAUAUCAUUCUAAUAGUUAAUAUAUCACUAUAUGCUAACAAAUGGAUAUAGAAUAAUAAUAUCUAAGGAAAUUGCUUUGUUAACUAAGGACCUCUUAGGUACCUCUUAUUAAUAAGGUACCUCCAAUAACUCAUGGUUAUUGUCUAUGAAUUGAAAUAAAACCACUUGACUGUC